Molecule: ribosomal RNA, 542 nt
Filed under: uncultured archaeon
Lineage: Archaea
Description: bacterial SSU rRNA
Rfam family: Archaeal small subunit ribosomal RNA
Source: RNAcentral
GCAGGCGCGAAAACUUUGCAAUAAGCGAAAGCUUGACAGGGCUAUCCCGAGCGCCAUCCGCUGAGGAAGGCUUUUACCCAGUCUAGAACGCUGGGGGAAUAAGGAGAGGGCAAGUCUGGUGUCAGCCGCCGCGGUAAUACCAGCUCUCCGAGUGGUGUGGAUGUUUAUUGGGCCUAAAGCAUCCGUAGCUGGCUAGGUUAGUCCCCUGUUAAAUCCACCGAAUUAAUCGUUGGAUUGCGGGGGAUACUGCUUGGCUAGGGGACGAGAGAGGCAGACGGUAUUUCCGGGGUAGGGGUGAAAUCCUAUAAUCCCGGGAAGACCACCAGUGGCGAAGGCUGUCUGCUAGAACGCGCCCGACGGUGAGGGAUGAAAGCUGGGGGAGCGAACCGGAUUAGAUACCCGGGUAGUCCCAGCUGUAAACGAUGCAGACUAGGUGUUUGAACGGCCACGUGCCGUUCUAGUGCCGCAGGGAAGCUGUUAAGUCUGCCGCCUGGGGAGUACGAUCGCAAGAUUGAAACUUAAAGGAAUUGGCGGGGGAGCAC